UGGGGAAUAUUGCACAAUGGGCGCAAGCCUGAUGCAGCCAUGCCGCGUGUGUGAAGAAGGCCUUCGGGUUGUAAAGCACUUUCAGCGGGGAGGAAGGCGGUGAGGUUAAUAACCUCAUCGAUUGACGUUACCCGCAGAAGAAGCACCGGCUAACUCCGUGCCAGCAGCCGCGGUAAUACGGAGGGUGCAAGCGUUAAUGGG
RNAcentral lists this ribosomal RNA (201 nucleotides) under Klebsiella pneumoniae. RNAcentral's name for it is "partial 16S ribosomal RNA". It matches the Rfam family "Bacterial small subunit ribosomal RNA", at positions 355 to 548 of the family's 1533-position model. The record is from RNAcentral. Lineage: Bacteria; Pseudomonadati; Pseudomonadota; Gammaproteobacteria; Enterobacterales; Enterobacteriaceae.